Long non-coding RNA from Prosopis cineraria, 1138 nucleotides. RefSeq lists it as uncharacterized. The transcript is spliced from 2 exons. NCBI's taxonomy places the organism in Eukaryota, Viridiplantae, Streptophyta, Magnoliopsida, Fabales, Fabaceae. The record is from RefSeq and is a predicted model, not a curated record.
AGACCCGCCCGGAUGACAUCAUCGGGUCCGGUUUACAUUCUUCUGUGGGGCCUUGGACCCGUCGCUUUCGGGUCCACGGUGAAAGCCCACUGGCCGCCUCAACCACCUUCCUUGCUUGCUUCCUUCUCUUUUUCACCAUAUAAGCUUCCUCCCCCCGCCACUCCCUCUUCUCUUUGUAUCCCCUUAACACAAUCAUCCUCUUCCAUUCUCUCUCUCUCUCUCUCUCUCAAGACCCUCUAAUCAUGAAACCAAAAGAUAGCUUCAUCCAUAAAGGUCCCUGUAAGGGCGCCUUCACCAUGCAUAUGUCUGGCCCUCUCAGAAUUGUGAACAAUUGCCUUAGCCAGAAGGAACCUUUCCUUGGAGCUGAUGCUGCUGAUGUUGAUGAUGAUGGUGUUUCUUCCUCUGGAGUGUUACUUCUGGAAGAUAUUCCAUUGUUCUUCUGAUCUGGUGCUAUCCUGCCUGAGCUUUUUACUUACUCGUUAUACUCUCUUCUUCAUCUAAGUUUUGCCCCCCAUUUUUUCCAUCUUUUCUUUGUUGUUGUGUUUCUUAUUUGAGUCUUCUUGACCUUGUAAGACCUUUUCUUGACCUUGUAAGACCCCGUGUCGAGUCCGCAGUCUUUGUUCUCACUUCUGUGAAAGACUCUAUGUCAAAUCUGCUGAUAUAGAGUUUGAUCCCUCUGUUUCCCCUUUUCCGCCCAACUCAUCUUCUCCUUCCUUGUCUAUCCCUCCUGAGCUGUUUCAGUUUUUGGCCAAGCAUGCAACAAUUCCUAUUCAUAUGAUAUGACACACACACACACACACACACAAAACCCACAAGGGAAAAAGAAAAGGGCCUUAAAACCUCUCUAAAAGGGCUUCUUGAAAUGUGGAAGCAACGCAGAUGAAGCUUGACUUGAAGUAGACUUCAGGGCCUGGUUUACUUUUAUGGUUAGUAUUGAUGUGAAGUGUGUAAAAAUGUUGGUGGUCCUCGAUGGUGUAGUGAGAGGAGGACCAGAUCAAGAGUAAUACUUGUUAAGAAAGAUGGGGAUGUUGUGUAAGGAUGUGUGUGUGUGUGUGUGUGGGGUGUGUUGUAUUCAGGGUUGAAAAGCCAAGUGUAUGAAGUUAUUCUCUUAAGGCAAUCAGUUUUCGCUUUUGUAUCA